RNAcentral lists this transfer RNA (65 nucleotides) under Leptopilina boulardi. RNAcentral's name for it is "tRNA-Asp". The record is from RNAcentral. Lineage: Eukaryota; Metazoa; Arthropoda; Insecta; Hymenoptera; Figitidae.
UUAAAUUUAGUUAAAAAAUAACAUUAAUAUGUCAAAUUAAAAUUAUUUUAUGAAAAUAAUUUAUG